GACGUGACUUCAGAGUUUGAUCCUGGCUCAGGAUGAACGCUGGCGGCGUGCAUAACACAUUCAAGUCGAACGGACUUAAUUCCUUCGGGGAUUAAGUUAGUGGCGGACGGGUGAGUAACGCGUGAGUAACCUGCCUAUAUGAGUGGAAUAACACAGGGAAACUUGUGCUAAUACCGCAUAAUUAUGUAUUUUUCGCAUGUAGAUUACAUCAAAGAGCCAAUCGCAUAUAGAUGGACUCGCGUCUGAUUAGCUAGUUGGUGAGGUAACGGCUCACCAAGGCGACGAUCAGUAGCCGAACUGAGAGGUUGAACGGCCACAUUGGAACUGAGAAACGGUCCAG
This 340-nucleotide ribosomal RNA is filed under the name uncultured bacterium. RNAcentral describes it as "bacterial SSU rRNA". It matches the Rfam family "Bacterial small subunit ribosomal RNA", at positions 1 to 334 of the family's 1533-position model. The record is from RNAcentral.